UACGUAGGGGGCAAGCGUUGUCCGGAUUUAUUGGGCGUAAAGAGCGUGUAGGCGGCCAGGUAGGUCGGUUGUGAAAACUCGAGGCUCAACCUCGAGAUGUCGACCGAAACCAUCUGGCUAGAGUCCGGAAGAGGAGAGUGGAAUUCCUGGUGUAGCGGUGAAAUGCGCAGAUAUCAGGAAGAACACCCGUGGCUAAGGCGGCUCUCUAGUACGGUACUGACGCUGAGACGCGAAAGCGUGGGGAGCGAACAGG
This 253-nucleotide ribosomal RNA is filed under the name uncultured bacterium. RNAcentral describes it as "partial 16S ribosomal RNA". It matches the Rfam family "Bacterial small subunit ribosomal RNA", at positions 524 to 776 of the family's 1533-position model. The record is from RNAcentral.